CGGGAAACUGGGGAUAAUACCCGAUAGAUCUCGGCUGCUGGAAUGCACCGAGUUCUAAAGCUCCGGCGCUCAAGGAUGGAUCUGCGGCCUAUCAGGUAGUAGUGGGUGUAGCGUACCUACUAGCCUACGACGGGUACGGGUUGUGAGAGCAAGAGCCCGGAGAUGGAUUCUGAGACACGAAUCCAGGCCCUACGGGGUGCAGCAGGCGCGAAAACUUUACAAUGCUGGAAACAGCGAUAAGGGGACCUCGAGUGCCAGGUUACAAAUCUGGCUGUCGUGAUGCCUAAAAAGCAUUGCAUAGCAAGGGCCGGACAAAACCGGUGCCCGCCACCGCGUAAUA
Molecule: ribosomal RNA, 340 nt
Filed under: uncultured archaeon
Lineage: Archaea
Description: partial 16S ribosomal RNA
Rfam family: Archaeal small subunit ribosomal RNA
Source: RNAcentral